AACGAACGCUGGCGGCAGGCCUAACACAUGCAAGUCGAACGCCCGUAGCAAUACGGGAGUGGCAGACGGGUGAGUAACGCGUGGGAAUCUCCCCAAAGGUACGGAACAACUCAGGGAAACUUGAGCUAAUACCGUAUGUGCCCGAGAGGGCAAAGAUUUAUCGCCUUUGGAUGAGCCCGCGUUGGAUUAGCUAGUUGGUGGGGUAACGGCCUACCAAGGCGACGAUCCAUAGCUGAUCUGAGAGGAUGAUCAGCCACACUGGGACUGAGACACGGCCCAGACUCCUACGGGAGGCAGCAGUGGGGAAUCUUGGACAAUGGGCGAAAGCCUGAUCCAGCCAUGCCGCGUGAGUGAAGAAGGCCUUAGGGUUGUAAAGCUCUUUUGCCCGGGAAGAUAAUGACGGUACCGGGAGAAUAAGCCCCGGCAAACUUCGUGCCAGCAGCCGCGGUAAUACGAAGGGGGCUAGCGUUGUUCGGAUUUACUGGGCGUAAAGCGCACGUAGGCGGAUUGGUU
This 513-nucleotide ribosomal RNA is filed under the name uncultured bacterium. RNAcentral describes it as "bacterial SSU rRNA". It matches the Rfam family "Bacterial small subunit ribosomal RNA", at positions 28 to 585 of the family's 1533-position model. The record is from RNAcentral.